Molecule: ribosomal RNA, 321 nt
Filed under: Alternaria sp. BAB-3872
Lineage: Eukaryota; Fungi; Ascomycota; Dothideomycetes; Pleosporales; Pleosporaceae
Description: eukaryotic LSU rRNA
Rfam family: 5.8S ribosomal RNA (bases 1-99)
Source: RNAcentral
CGAUACUUGGUGUGAAUUGCAGAAUUCAGUGAAUCAUCGAAUCUUUGAACGCACAUUGCGCCCUUUGGUAUUCCAAAGGGCAUGCCUGUUCGAGCGUCAUUUGUACCCUCAAGCUUUGCUUGGUGUUGGGCGUCUUGUCUCUAGCUUUGCUGGAGACUCGCCUUAAAGUAAUUGGCAGCCGGCCUACUGGUUUCGGAGCGCAGCACAAGUCGCACUCUCUAUCAGCAAAGGUCUAGCAUCCAUUAAGCCUUUUUUUCAACUUUUGACCUCGGAUCAGGUAGGGAUACCCGCUGAACUUAAGCAUAUCAAUAAGCGGAGGAA